GCCCGGCUGGCUCAGUCGGUAGAGCAUGCAAUUCUUGAUCUCAGGGUCCUGAGUUCAAGCCCCACGUUGGGCG
This 73-nucleotide transfer RNA is filed under the name Ailuropoda melanoleuca (giant panda). It matches the Rfam family "tRNA". Rfam says of the family: Transfer RNA (tRNA) molecules are approximately 80 nucleotides in length. Their secondary structure includes four short double-helical elements and three loops (D, anti-codon, and T loops). Lineage: Eukaryota; Metazoa; Chordata; Mammalia; Carnivora; Ursidae. The record is from Rfam by way of RNAcentral.